RNAcentral lists this ribosomal RNA (165 nucleotides) under Chaetocapnodium placitae. RNAcentral's name for it is "Antennariella placitae partial large subunit ribosomal RNA". It matches the Rfam family "Eukaryotic large subunit ribosomal RNA", at positions 99 to 261 of the family's 3401-position model. Lineage: Eukaryota; Fungi; Ascomycota; Dothideomycetes; Capnodiales; Capnodiaceae. The record is from RNAcentral.
CGGCAAGAGCUCAGAUUUGAAAUCUGGCGCCUUCGGCGUCCGAGUUGUAAUCUGUAGAGGAUGCUAUUGGGUAGCCACCGGUCUAAGUCCCCUGGAACGGGGCGUCGCAGAGGGUGAGAAUCCCGUAUGUGACCGGAAGGGCGCCCUCCACAUAGCUCCUUCGAC